AAGUCGUAACAAGGUAACCGUAGGUGAACCUGCGGUUGGAUCAUUAAAAAGAUCUAGCCUGAACUGGGGCCGAUGGACAUCUGUCCUUCGGUGCUAAACCAGGCUUUUCUCACCUAAAAAGUGAGUAAACAUCAUGUGAACUGUUCUGUCUCUGGCGGUUGGAUGGGUCAAACCAUCUGUCAGCAUCCGAGGUCUCCUCGGUGUGCCGUGGACAAGCCGCCAAUGGUGUAUGUUUCAUACAAACUUUUUGUUUCAUUAUAAUUGUCUGACCUACUUUUGUAUCUAAAAUAUACAAAAACAACUUUUGGCAACGGAUCUCUUGGCUCCC
Molecule: unclassified non-coding RNA, 328 nt
Filed under: Powellomyces sp.
Lineage: Eukaryota; Fungi; Chytridiomycota; Chytridiomycetes; Spizellomycetales; Powellomycetaceae
Also listed under: 1 other name
Description: partial internal transcribed spacer region
Rfam family: Eukaryotic small subunit ribosomal RNA (bases 1-46)
Source: RNAcentral